UACGAAGGGAGCUAGCGUUGUUCGGAAUCACUGGGCGUAAAGCGCACGUAGGCGGAUCUUUAAGUCAGGGGUGAAAUCCCGAGGCUCAACCUCGGAACUGCCUUUGAUACUGGGGAUCUCGAGUCCGGGAGAGGUGAGUGGAACUGCGAGUGUAGAGGUGAAAUUCGUAGAUAUUCGCAAGAACACCAGUGGCGAAGGCGGCUCACUGGCCCGGAACUGACGCUGAGGUGCGAAAGCGUGGGGAGCAAACAGG
RNAcentral lists this ribosomal RNA (253 nucleotides) under uncultured bacterium. Its description in RNAcentral is "partial 16S ribosomal RNA". It matches the Rfam family "Bacterial small subunit ribosomal RNA", at positions 524 to 776 of the family's 1533-position model. The record is from RNAcentral.